CUACGGGGUGCAGCAGUGGGGAAUAUUGCACAAUGGAGGAAACUCUGAUGCCGCAACGCCGCGUGGAGGAUGACACUUUUCGGAGCGUAAACUCCUUUUAUAUAGGAAGAAGAUGACGGUACUAUAUGAAUAAGCGCCGGCUAACUCCGUGCCAGCAGCCGCGGUAAUACGGAGGGCGCAAGCGUUACUCGGAAUCACUGGGCGUAAAGAGCGUGUAGGCGGAUUAAAAAGUCAGAAGUGAAAUACUAUAGCUUAACUAUAGAACUGCUUCUGAAACUCUUAAUCUAGAAUAUGGGAGAGGUAGAUGGAAUUUCUGGUGUAGGGGUAAAAUCCGUAGAGAUCAGAAGGAAUACCGAUUGCGAAGGCGAUCUACUAGAACAUUAUUGACGCUGAGACGCAAAAGCGUGGGGAGCAAACAGGAUUAGAUACCCGAGUAGUC
Molecule: ribosomal RNA, 439 nt
Filed under: uncultured bacterium
Lineage: Bacteria
Description: partial 16S ribosomal RNA
Rfam family: Bacterial small subunit ribosomal RNA
Source: RNAcentral